UAGGGAAUCUUCGGCAAUGGACGAAAGUCUGACCGAGCAACGCCGCGUGAGUGAGGAAGGUUUUCGGAUCGUAAAACUCUGUUGGUAGAGAAGAACGUUGGUGAGAGUGGAAAGCUCAUCAAGUGACGGUAACUACCCAGAAAGGGACGGCUAACUACGUGCCAA
RNAcentral lists this ribosomal RNA (165 nucleotides) under uncultured bacterium. RNAcentral describes it as "partial 16S rRNA". It matches the Rfam family "Bacterial small subunit ribosomal RNA", at positions 355 to 511 of the family's 1533-position model. The record is from RNAcentral.